GAUAAUGGUUAAAUUUAAAUACUGUGCGGCGUGUUUAGUGACUGAUGUGAAAAUGUAUUGUUUAUCUGAAAAGUUUUCGAGCAAUCCUAUAAUUACACUGGGAGAUAUUUAUUCGCAACUACUUCAAAUCAAUAAUAUCAACAAAACUCAGCAUGUGUGCUUUGAAUGUACAAGACUUUUAUAUAAGUACCAUGAGUUCAAAUCCAAAUGUCAUAAGGCUCAAUCUUUAAUGUCUUUGGUGGCUGGAGCUGAUGACUCUGAAAUUAAAAAUGUCGUAAUUCAAAACAUUGAUAGAGUUUUUUACAA
Manduca sexta (tobacco hornworm) is the source of this 306-nucleotide long non-coding RNA. RefSeq lists it as uncharacterized. The record is from RefSeq and is a predicted model, not a curated record. NCBI's taxonomy places the organism in Eukaryota, Metazoa, Arthropoda, Insecta, Lepidoptera, Sphingidae. The transcript is spliced from 3 exons.